This 1146-nucleotide ribosomal RNA is filed under the name Triticum aestivum (bread wheat). Its description in RNAcentral is "partial small subunit ribosomal RNA". Lineage: Eukaryota; Viridiplantae; Streptophyta; Magnoliopsida; Poales; Poaceae. The record is from RNAcentral.
AUGGCCGGCGGCGGCGCGUCGCCGGCGCGGGAGGGCGGCCGGGAGGAGUGGCUGCGCAUCUACGACCGGAUGGUGGCCGUCCUGCGGAAGAGCCACCGGGACGUGGAGGCGCUGCUCGCCGACCGCACGCGCCUCGAGGCCGUCCUCAAGAUCCAGCACGACUUCUGGCUCCACCGCGAUGCCGUCCUCAGGGACCGCCUCGACGAGACGCGGAGGGUGGAGGACUGCCUGCGGCGGGGCGACGCCGCCAAGCUCGACCUGCUCCUCGGAGACAAGGACCUCGAGGUGCGCCGCCACCGGAUCUACAUCGAACACCAAGAUGGUGACCUGGAGGAUUUCAAAAGGGAUGCGGCUGCUUUGGCUCAAGAAAACAAUGAACUGAAGAUAAAACUGAAGGAAGCUGAAAGUUGUGCCGAGCUCAGCGAGCCGACUACAGACCCCGAGCACAGCGGAAGAGAUUUGAGAGCAGAGAUACGGAAGCUAAAGAAAGCCUAUAAGGCCCUGAGCUCGCAAAAGGAGAGUGAGGUUUCCGCGUUACUUGCAGAAAAGGAUUUUGUGUGGAACCAGUACAAGACAAUGGAGAAGGAUUACGAGACGCUCCUUAAGAAGAAGAAGAUGGAGGCAGCACAGGCUACUGAAGCAGCAGAGAAGCUUCAGCAGAAGGUGGAGGAGCUGCAACUGCAAGUGGUGGCCCAAAAGAAGGAUGACGAUGUUGGCAGAUUGCAAGCAGAAGCUAAUGAUGCCAAAAAGAAGGUACUGGCUCUUGAGGAUAAGCUACAAAAAAUGCACUCCCUGGUCAGUGAGAAAGAUGAUGAAAUCCAAAAACUCAAGAGUGGGCACCUUCAGUCUAGUCAAAAGCGGAAGAAGGAUAUCAGUGGGACACAUAGAAGAUCUAGGUCUGAAGGUCCAUCUGUACGGGGCAAGUCUAAAGGUAAUCCUCGGAGGCAAAUGGCAGAAGAAGAUCAACCUGAGACCAGUCAGAAGCGUCAGUGUGCCUCUUCGUUGUCAAGUGGACUGGCGCUCCGGCGUUGCUCCUCGAGGAUGACGCACCUGAGACCCGCGUCGUCGUCAUCACCUGCGCCUCAGCAGGUACUCUUCCACUCCAGUUUCAAGCUGCUGUUAGACCUCCAUGAUGGCUGUGUUUAG